Molecule: non-coding RNA, 282 nt
Organism: Vicia faba (fava bean)
Lineage: Eukaryota; Viridiplantae; Streptophyta; Magnoliopsida; Fabales; Fabaceae
Source: the annotation of a GenBank genome assembly
AUGGUCGCAGUUGUCGUGGAUGAGCGGCGGCUUGUCGUCAAGUUCGCGGAGUGUGGGAGGUUUCAAGUACGAUUAGGGUUUCGAUCUGGAAACUCUAGUCGUAUCCACCUUCAGGUUUUCAAUGGAAUCCGCCUUUGCUCUGUUCUUCUGCCAAGAGAAUCGUCGUCCCCCUUCAAGCAAACAAUUUGCAUUUCUGAAGAAAAAAAAACAAUUGGGCCAGCAGCUGAUUCUACCCUACUUAGCCCAACCGUCAACAUCCUUAUUACAGCCAAUAUGUUCUAA